GAUGAACGCUAGCUACAGGCUUAACACAUGCAAGUCGAGGGGCAUCAUGCUUAUAGCAAUAUAAGUGAUGGCGACCGGCGCACGGGUGAGUAACACGUAUCCAACCUGCCGAUAACUCGGGGAUAGCCUUUCGAAAGAAAGAUUAAUACCCGAUGGUAUAAUAAAACCGCAUGGUUUAAUUAUUAAAGAAUUUCGGUUAUCGAUGGGGAUGCGUUCCAUUAGGCAGUUGGUGAGGUAACGGCUCACCAAACCUUCGAUGGAUAGGGGUUCUGAGAGGAAGGUCCCCCACAUUGGAACUGAGACACGGUCCAA
This 312-nucleotide ribosomal RNA is filed under the name uncultured bacterium. RNAcentral describes it as "bacterial SSU rRNA". It matches the Rfam family "Bacterial small subunit ribosomal RNA", at positions 28 to 334 of the family's 1533-position model. The record is from RNAcentral.